Molecule: long non-coding RNA, 520 nt
Filed under: Numida meleagris (helmeted guineafowl)
Lineage: Eukaryota; Metazoa; Chordata; Aves; Galliformes; Numididae
Description: lncRNA (ENSNMEG00000006886.1)
Source: RNAcentral
CCCUAGUGAAUGUCCUUUAACUGCCAUCUGAGAGGUUGGCAGGCUGCACAUAUGGUGCUUUCCUUCUUUUGAAAUACUAGAUUUGGAGUCCAUGUGGGUUUCCUGGUUUUGCAUCUUCAGCAUUGUUCGUUUCGAGCAUUUGUGGGCAGAUCCCAAGGCUGGUGGGCGCUGUCACAAGGUUGUCUUGGCUAUUUCGCUGGACCAUCCCUGUAAGGCUGCUCUGCCCUGCUCCUCUCUGCCUCCAGCAGUGCUAUUAAAGGAAGGAGGGAGCUGUGAAUUCCUGCAGUCUCUGAGGCCAGUAUCCAGACAGUAUGGGUUAUGCUUCAAGCCAGACUUGGACCUAGGAUGGAGGAUAAGGUGAUUCUCAGCAUGAGUGAGGCUGGUGGAACUGGGCUUAUAAAAAUAUCUGAGCGGGGGAAGAAAAUAACUACUGUUUUCCAAGAAGAUGCAUUUUUCUAUUUUAAUUUUUGUAAGGCUGUGAUAAAAUAAAUGUUGUCUAUGAUGUAAAGCUGAAGGGUUG